This is a long non-coding RNA of Corvus hawaiiensis (hawaiian crow), 510 nucleotides long. RefSeq lists it as uncharacterized. The record is from RefSeq and is a predicted model, not a curated record. NCBI's taxonomy places the organism in Eukaryota, Metazoa, Chordata, Aves, Passeriformes, Corvidae. The transcript has 3 exons.
GCAAGGCUUAGUGGAGGUUUGUAAUACGUUUUGGACUCGUUACAUACAGUAGAGUGGAAUUUAAGGGUGUUGCUUGUCUCAUCACACCACUCUCUGCUGGUGGGGGAAUCCCAUUAAUGCAGCCUUCCUCUAAAGGAUCAGGCCUGAUCCUCCCUCCACAAGGCUGGCAUCCUUGUGCUGACUUGAACUGGGAGACAUCUGGGCUCUCCCUUUUCUGCAUGGGUGGAUACUGGAGGUUUGGAUGGAAAGAAACCUCAAAUUUAAAGAGCUUCUGUAGCAUGUUUUGGCUGAUGUGGGUCCACUGAAAAGCAGCAGUAAACAGGUGCUGGUGGCUGAAUGGACGGAUACGUAGGCCACGAUGAUAGAGACAGGACAGAGUACAAGAUUCUGCGGAGCUAGGACUACUCACAGGUUUGGCUGUUUCACGUAUCCAUAAGGCAAUGUCACAUUUUCCAUUUGGUCAAAUGAAGAUGGUCCUGGAAUAAAUAAAUGUGAGAAUUGUUAGCUGAA